AGCCUGAGCCAGACCCAGUGACUCUUUCUCUUCCUGCUGCCUGUAGAUCUGGAUGUGGAACUAUCGGCUCCCUCUCUAGCACUGUGUCUACCUGUAUGCGACCAUGCUUCCUGCCAUGAUGAUAAUGGACUCAACCUCUGAACUGAAAACCAGUCCCAAUUAAAUUAUCUCUUUUUAGAGAGUUCACAUGGUCAUGGUGCCUCUUCACAGUGAUAGAACAUUGACUAAGAUGCCUCAGGAACAAGAUAAACAGGGAGGGCCUGCACUUUGUCAACCACAAUAGAUGGAGAAGGUAUAAAUGGAAUGCCAACACACCCACGCUACAACAGAUGUUAGAAAAUUUGUUAGCUUCAAAGGAGAUGCUACCAUAUGGAAGAGUGGAUCUUCAGGAAGGAAGAGCAUCAAAACGACAUGAUGCAGAUGAGCACAGCAAGUAGGAACCUGUAUGCUGAAGAUGAAGGAGCCACAAGAUGGAAGGAUCCUGGGCCUCUGUCACUGCUUGAAAGAAAGCUGUCCUACUCAUUAGGGGUACCAUUUUGGAAUUAGUGUAAGUGUCAGAUAAACUUCUGUUGUAUUUGUGUUAUUGUGCAUUUAGAUUUUUUUUUAACAGAAUGAGCUAAUUAAUUUAGGAAACACAACUUAUGCAAAGCAUCUGGCAUGGGUCAACUGUUACCUAUUAGGUUCAAAGGAGAAAAGUGCUCUGCUAU
Peromyscus leucopus (white-footed mouse) is the source of this 707-nucleotide long non-coding RNA. RefSeq lists it as uncharacterized. The transcript is spliced from 3 exons. The record is from RefSeq and is a predicted model, not a curated record. NCBI's taxonomy places the organism in Eukaryota, Metazoa, Chordata, Mammalia, Rodentia, Cricetidae.